GGCUGAGGCCUCCCCGCAGGCCGUGUUUCUCCUUGGGGACCUCUCAGCUCCACACCAUGGCUCAUCUCCGGCCCCAUCUCCUCCAGGGACCUUGGGGAACGCCUGAAGGCCCCCAGGGGAGCGGUGCUGCUCCUUGGGGUUUCAUCUGUCAGGAUUACUUUCAUCAGCAGAAAAUAAGAAGAGACAUCCUGCAUUAAAGAUGUUGCGCCGUGCAGCUGCACCUGCCCCAGGGGAGCUCCGAGUGCAGAGGGACCCGAUCCUGACUGAUGCUCGUGGGGCGUUUCCGAGGCAGGUGGAGCACUUUGUGCCUGGACUCCUUAUUUCCCUGGCCGCAGCCCUAAAUCUUCCACCCGUCAGCCCAUCACUGAAGCUACUUUGAGAUGGCUGCGUGUGGACAGCAAAUGGCCUUAUUGCUGCCCAGCUUCUGGUUUUACGCUUGCCUCCCGCACUCCCUGUUGUGCACACCUUCCCCUGGAGGGGCUGGCUCCAAGCACAAGCCGUGCCUGUCUGGGGAUGGACAGACGCCUCCUCUGCAGCUGCCUUUUCUUGCACCAAUACCAUAUUACAAAGGAUGGUCUAAAGUUACCUAACCUGUGAGCCUCCACAUAAAUCACGGCGAGCAGUGAUUUAGAGGGGAGCUGGGCUCCCCGUGGCGUGUGCACCGUGUCCCCUGCCCAGACCCCCACGCAGACAUCCCACUCCUCCAGAAGCCGGCAGAUAAGAGCAAUAAAAGCCACAGCUCACUCCAGCAUCACUACUGCUUAAUUCUUUUGGCAUGAUCAAGCCACUAAAUGAUGGAAAGAGGAACCUGAGCUGCCUCUUUUUUUUU
Long non-coding RNA from Cygnus olor (mute swan), 829 nucleotides. RefSeq lists it as uncharacterized. NCBI's taxonomy places the organism in Eukaryota, Metazoa, Chordata, Aves, Anseriformes, Anatidae. The record is from RefSeq and is a predicted model, not a curated record. The transcript is spliced from 5 exons.